Molecule: ribosomal RNA, 403 nt
Filed under: uncultured bacterium
Lineage: Bacteria
Description: bacterial SSU rRNA
Rfam family: Bacterial small subunit ribosomal RNA
Source: RNAcentral
UAGGGAAUAUUAGAAAUGGACGAAAGUCUGAUCUAGCAACACCGCGUGUGCGAAGAAGGCCUUCGGGUCGUAAAGCACUUUUUGGAAGGAAUAGGAAGGAAUGUACUUCCAGAAUAAGUCUCGGCUAACUACGUGCCAGCAGCCGCGGUAACACGUAGGAGGCGAACGUUAUCCGGAUUUACUGGGCGUAAAGCGCGUGUAGGUGGUGCUGUAAGUAGGGCGUGAAAGCUCCUGGCUCAACUGGGAGAGGCCGUUCUAAACUACAGAACUAGAGGAUGGUAGAGGGAGGUGGAAUUCCAGGUGUAGCGGUGGAAUGCGCAGAUAUCUGGAGGAACACCGGUGGCGAAGGCGGCCUCCUGGACCAUCCCUGACACUCAGACGCGAAAGCUAGGGUAGCAAACGG